Molecule: transfer RNA, 72 nt
Filed under: Umezawaea tangerina
Lineage: Bacteria; Bacillati; Actinomycetota; Actinomycetes; Pseudonocardiales; Pseudonocardiaceae
Rfam family: tRNA
About the family: Transfer RNA (tRNA) molecules are approximately 80 nucleotides in length. Their secondary structure includes four short double-helical elements and three loops (D, anti-codon, and T loops).
Source: Rfam by way of RNAcentral
GGCGGAGUGGCCGAGUGGUUCAGGCGCAGGCCUGCAAAGCCUGUUACGCGGGUUCGAUUCCCGUCUCCGCCU